RNAcentral lists this small nuclear RNA (169 nucleotides) under Torulaspora delbrueckii CBS 1146. Its description in RNAcentral is "U4 spliceosomal RNA". It matches the Rfam family "U4 spliceosomal RNA". Rfam says of the family: U4 small nuclear RNA (U4 snRNA) is a component of the major U2-dependent spliceosome. The record is from Rfam by way of RNAcentral. Lineage: Eukaryota; Fungi; Ascomycota; Saccharomycetes; Saccharomycetales; Saccharomycetaceae.
AUCCUUAUGCAAGGGAAAUACGCAUAUCAGUGAGGAUUCGUCCGAGAUUGUGUUUUUGCUGGUUGAAAUUUAAUUUUAACCUGACCUUCUUCUCAUGAUCGACUAUGGGAUGUUCGCCUUAUGAAUGUCUUAUGAUUAUGUAGAGACUUUUUGGACUCUUUUAUGAAAC